CUAAGUAAUUAUAUGAUGAA
Molecule: microRNA, 20 nt
Filed under: Schistosoma mansoni
Lineage: Eukaryota; Metazoa; Platyhelminthes; Trematoda; Strigeidida; Schistosomatidae
Description: sma-miR-8418-3p
Source: miRBase by way of RNAcentral